Molecule: non-coding RNA, 567 nt
Filed under: Pan troglodytes (chimpanzee)
Lineage: Eukaryota; Metazoa; Chordata; Mammalia; Primates; Hominidae
Source: RNAcentral
GCCGCACACGCGCCGGACCGGGUACCGCUGUGCCCGGCCUGGCCGCGGCCUAGUCCCGGCAGACGGGACUGACGAGGUCACCAAGCCCAGGCCGAGACGGCGCGGGUGUCAGGGACUUGGGAAUCCCCCUCCCCCAGUCCCGAUCCCGCUUUCCUUUGGGGUUUCACCUCAGAGGACCCGACAUCACUCUUGCAGCCGUCUACCUGUCUUCCUGGCUCACUCCCUGCAGGAAUGGUCUGGGGCAACCCCAGCAACACGCCCACCUGUGGCCAGGAUGAAUAGGAAUCCAGUUCAGGCUUGGCUUCCAUGGCAAUCAAGGCCCACCAGGCCCCAGCAACCUUCCCUACCCCCCAUUCCUUUUUGCUGCCCCCCUCCACACCAGGCAUGUUCCCUGCCACACCAUGCUGUUCCCCUCACCUGGGCUGCCCUCCCAACUCCUCUCUGCCUCUGGAGAUGCUCUGCCAUUCAAGACUUGGCUCAGGCUCCAGGUCCUCCCUGGGCCUUCUAGAGCCCCUGGUUCUCACUCCUCUGAACACUUCCAGCCUGGCUAAUAGCCCACUGCAUCCU